Molecule: ribosomal RNA, 833 nt
Filed under: Umbilicaria phaea var. phaea
Lineage: Eukaryota; Fungi; Ascomycota; Lecanoromycetes; Umbilicariales; Umbilicariaceae
Description: partial large subunit ribosomal RNA
Rfam family: Eukaryotic large subunit ribosomal RNA
Source: RNAcentral
CCUCAGUAACGGCGAGUGAAGCGGCAACAGCUCAAAUUUGAAAUCUGGCCGCCCCGCGGUCCGAGUUGUAAUUUGUAGAGGAUGCUUCGGGUGCGGCGCCGGUCUAAGUUCCUUGGAACAGGACGUCAUAGAGGGUGAGAAUCCCGUAUGUGACCGGUGACCCAGCCCGUGUGAAGCUCCUUCGACGAGUCGAGUUGUUUGGGAAUGCAGCUCUAAAUGGGUGGUAAAUUUCAUCUAAAGCUAAAUACCGGCCAGAGACCGAUAGCGCACAAGUAGAGUGAUCGAAAGAUGAAAAGCACUUUGGAAAGAGAGUUAAAAAGUACGUGAAAUUGUUGAAAGGGAAGCGCUUGCGACCAGACUUGCUCGUGGGUGAUCAGCCGUCCUUCUGGGCGGUGCACUCGCCCGCGAUCAGGCCAGCAUCGGUUCGGGCGGUUGGAUAAAGGCCCCGGGAAUGUGACUCCCUCCGGGGAGUGUUAUAGCCCGGGGCGCAAUGCGGCCAGCCCGGACCGAGGACCGCGCUUCGGCUAGGAUGCUGGCGUAAUGGUUGUAAGCGACCCGUCUUGAAACACGGACCAAGGAGUCUAACAUCUAUGCGAGUGUUUGGGUGUCAAACCCAUGCGCGCAAUGAAAGUGAACGGAGGUGGGAACCCUCAAGGGUGCACCAUCGACCGAUCCUGAUGUCUUCGGAUGGAUUUGAGUAGGAGCAUAGCUGUUGGGACCCGAAAGAUGGUGAACUAUGCCUGAAUAGGGUGAAGCCAGAGGAAACUCUGGUGGAGGCUCGCAGCGGUUCUGACGUGCAAAUCGAUCGUCAAAUUUGGGUAUAGGGGCGAAAG